GAUGAACGCUGGCGGCGUGCCUAAUACAUGCAAGUCGAGCGAACAGACGAGGAGCUUGCUCCUCUGACGUUAGCGGCGGACGGGUGAGUAACACGUGGAUAACCUACCUAUAAGACUUGGAUAACUUCGGGAAACCGGAGCUAAUACCGGAUAAUAUAUUGAACCGCAUGGUUCAAUAGUGAAAGACGGUUUUGCUGUCACUUAUAGAUGGAUCCGCGCCGCAUUAGCUAGUUGGUAAGGUAACGGCUUACCAAGGCAACGAUGCGUAGCCGACCUGAGAGGGUGAUCGGCCACACUGGAACUGAGACACGGUCCAGACUCCUACGGGCGGCAGCAGUAGGGAAUCUUCCGCAAUGGGCGAAAGCCUGACGGAGCAACGCCGCGUGAGUGCUGAAGGUCUUCGGAUCGUAAAACUCUGUUAUUAGGGAAGAACAAAUGUGUAAGUAACUAUGCACGUCUUGACGGUACCUAAUCAGAAAGCCACGGCUAACUACGUG
Molecule: ribosomal RNA, 497 nt
Filed under: uncultured bacterium
Lineage: Bacteria
Description: partial 16S ribosomal RNA
Rfam family: Bacterial small subunit ribosomal RNA
Source: RNAcentral